Molecule: ribosomal RNA, 495 nt
Filed under: uncultured bacterium
Lineage: Bacteria
Description: partial 16S ribosomal RNA
Rfam family: Bacterial small subunit ribosomal RNA
Source: RNAcentral
GGCGAACGCUGGCGGCGUGCCUAAUACAUGCAAGUAGAACGCUGAAGGAGGAGCUUGCUUCUCUGGAUGAGUUGCGAACGGGUGAGUAACGCGUAGGUAACCUGCCUGGUAGCGGGGGAUAACUAUUGGAAACGAUAGCUAAUACCGCAUAAGAGUAGAUGUUGCAUGACAUUUGCUUAAAAGGUGCAAUUGCAUCACUACCAGAUGGACCUGCGUUGUAUUAGCUAGUUGGUGGGGUAACGGCUCACCAAGGCGACGAUACAUAGCCGACCUGAGAGGGUGAUCGGCCACACUGGGACUGAGACACGGCCCAGACUCCUACGGGAGGCAGCAGUAGGGAAUCUUCGGCAAUGGACGGAAGUCUGACCGAGCAACGCCGCGUGAGUGAAGAAGGUUUUCGGAUCGUAAAGCUCGGUUGUAAGAGAAGAACGAGUGUGAGAGUGGAAAGUUCACACUGUGACGGUAUCUUACCAGAAAGGGACGGCUAACUACGUG